UACGUAGGGUGCGAGCGUUGUCCGGAAUUAUUGGGCGUAAAGGGCUCGUAGGCGGUUUGUCGCGUCGGGAGUGAAAACAUCCAGCUUAACUGGGUGCUUGCUUUCGAUACGGGCAGACUUGAGGUAUGCAGGGGAGAAUGGAAUUCCUGGUGUAGCGGUGAAAUGCGCAGAUAUCAGGAGGAACACCGGUGGCGAAGGCGGUUCUCUGGGCAUUACCUGACGCUGAGGAGCGAAAGCGUGGGGAGCGAACAGG
Molecule: ribosomal RNA, 253 nt
Filed under: uncultured bacterium
Lineage: Bacteria
Description: partial 16S ribosomal RNA
Rfam family: Bacterial small subunit ribosomal RNA
Source: RNAcentral